Molecule: ribosomal RNA, 315 nt
Filed under: uncultured bacterium
Lineage: Bacteria
Description: bacterial SSU rRNA
Rfam family: Bacterial small subunit ribosomal RNA
Source: RNAcentral
GACGAACGCUGGCGGCGUGCUUAACACAUGCAAGUCGAACGAGGUUACAGAGGAGCUUGCUCCGAAGUAACCGAGUGGCGGACGGGUGAGUAACGCGUGAGGAACCUGUCUCACACAGGGGGAUAACGCACCGAAAGGUGUGCUAAUACCGCAUAAGACCACGGUACCGCAUGGUACAGGGGUCAAAGGAGCAAUCCGGUGUGAGGUGGCCUCGCGUCUGAUUAGGUAGUUGGUGAGGUAACGGCCCACCAAGCCGACGAUCAGUAGCCGACCUGAGAGGGUGAUCGGCCACAUUGGAACUGAGACACGGUCCAA